This 492-nucleotide ribosomal RNA is filed under the name uncultured bacterium. Its description in RNAcentral is "partial 16S ribosomal RNA". It matches the Rfam family "Bacterial small subunit ribosomal RNA", at positions 29 to 507 of the family's 1533-position model. The record is from RNAcentral.
AGUGAACGCUGGCGGUAGGCCUAACACAUGCAAGUCGAACGGCAGCACAGUAAGAGCUUGCUCUUACGGGUGGCGAGUGGCGGACGGGUGAGGAAUACAUCGGAAUCUACUUUUUCGUGGGGGAUAACGUAGGGAAACUUACGCUAAUACCGCAUACGACCUACGGGGGAAAGCAGGGGAUCUUCGGACCUUGCGGGAUUGAAUGAGCCGAUGUCGGAUUAGCUAGUUGGCGGGGUAAAGGCCCACCAAGGCGACGAUCCGUAGCUGGUCUGAGAGGAUGAUCAGCCACACUGGAACUGAGACACGGUCCAGACUCCUACGGGAGGCCGCAGUGGGGAAUAUUGGACAAUGGGCGCAAGCCUGAUCCAGCCAUACCGCGUGGGUGAAGAAGGCCUUCGGGUUGUAAAGCCCUUUUGUUGGGAAAGAAAAGCAGCAGGUUAAUACCCCGCUGUUCUGACGGUACCCAAAGAAUAAGCACCGGCUAACUUCGUG